CGCUGGCGGCGUGCUUAACACAUGCAAGUCGAACGGGAUCCCUGGCAGCUUGCUGUCGGGGUGAGAGUGGCGAACGGGUGAGUAAUGCGUGACCAACCUGCCCUGUGCACCGGAAUAGCUCCUGGAAACGGGUGGUAAUACCGGAUGCUCCGCUCCAUCGCAUGGUGGGGUGGGAAAUGCUUUUGCGGCAUGGGAUGGGGUCGCGUCCUAUCAGCUUGUUGGCGGGGUGAUGGCCCACCAAGGCGUUGACGGGUAGCCGGCCUGAGAGGGUGACCGGCCACAUUGGGACUGAGAUACGGCCCAGACUCCUACGGGAGGCAGCAGUGGGGAAUAUUGCACAAUGGGCGCAAGCCUGAUGCAGCGACGCCGCGUGCGGGAUGGAGGCCUUCGGGUUGUAAACCGCUUUUGUUCAAGGGCAAGGCACGGUUUUGAGUGUACCUUUCGAAUAAGCACCGGCUAACUACGUGCCAGCAGCCGCGG
Molecule: ribosomal RNA, 480 nt
Filed under: Bifidobacterium animalis
Lineage: Bacteria; Bacillati; Actinomycetota; Actinomycetes; Bifidobacteriales; Bifidobacteriaceae
Description: bacterial SSU rRNA
Rfam family: Bacterial small subunit ribosomal RNA
Source: RNAcentral